Molecule: ribosomal RNA, 323 nt
Filed under: uncultured bacterium
Lineage: Bacteria
Description: bacterial SSU rRNA
Rfam family: Bacterial small subunit ribosomal RNA
Source: RNAcentral
GAUGAACGCUGGCGGCGUGCUUAACACAUGCAAGUCGAACGAAGCACUUAAGAUUGAUUCUUCGGAUGACGUCUUUUGUGACUUAGUGGCGGACGGGUGAGUAACGCGUGGGUAACCUGCCUCACACAGGGGGAUAACAGUUAGAAAUGACUGCUAAUACCGCAUAACCCGAUAGGAUCGCAUGAUCCAGACGGAAAGAUUAUCGGUGUGAGAUGGACCCGCGUCUGAUUAGCUGGUUGGUGAGGUAACGGCCCACCAAGGCGACGAUCAGUAGCCGGCCUGAGAGGGUGAACGGCCACAUUGGGACUGAGACACGGCCCACG